AGUGAACGCUGGCGGUAGGCCUAACACAUGCAAGUCGAACGGCAGCACAGUAAGAGCUUGCUCUUACGGGUGGCGAGUGGCGGACGGGUGAGGAAUACAUCGGAAUCUACUUUUUCGUGGGGGAUAACGUAGGGAAACUUACGCUAAUACCGCAUACGACCUACGGGUGAAAGCAGGGGAUCUUCGGACCUUGCGCGAUUGAAUGAGCCGAUGUCGGAUUAGCUGGUUGGCGGGGUAAAGGCCCGCCAAGGCGACGAUCCGUAGCUGGUCUGAGAGGAUGAUCAGCCACACUGGAACUGAGACACGGUCCAGACUCCUACGGGAGGCAGCAGUGGGGAAUAUUGGACAAUGGGCGCAAGCCUGAUCCAGCCAUACCGCGUGGGUGAAGAAGGCCUUCGGGUUGUAAAGCCCUUUUGUUGGGAAAGAAAAGCAGCAGGUUAAUACCCCGCUGUUCUGACGGUACCCAAAGAAUAAGCACCGGCUAACUUCGUG
This 492-nucleotide ribosomal RNA is filed under the name uncultured bacterium. RNAcentral's name for it is "partial 16S ribosomal RNA". It matches the Rfam family "Bacterial small subunit ribosomal RNA", at positions 29 to 507 of the family's 1533-position model. The record is from RNAcentral.